GAUGAACGCUGGCGGCGUGCUUAACACAUGCAAGUCGAACGGAAAGGCCCAAGCUUGCUUGGGUACUCGAGUGGCGAACGGGUGAGUAACACGUGGGUGAUCUGCCCUGCACUUCGGGAUAAGCCUGGGAAACUGGGUCUAAUACCGGAUAGGACCACUUCGUAGUUGUUGUGGUGGAAAGUUUUUUCGGUGUGGGAUGAGCUCGCGGCCUAUCAGCUUGUUGGUGGGGUAAUGGCCUACCAAGGCGUCGACGGGUAGCCGGCCUGAGAGGGUGUACGGCCACAUUGGGACUGAGAUACGGCCCAGACUCCUACGGGAGGCAGCAGUGGGGAAUAUUGCACAAUGGGCGGAAGCCUGAUGCAGCGACGCCGCGUGGGGGAUGACGGCCUUCGGGGUGUAAACUCCUUUCGCCAAAGACGAAUUUAGGACGGUAUUUGGAGAAGAAGCACCGGCUAACUACGUGC
This 464-nucleotide ribosomal RNA is filed under the name uncultured bacterium. Its description in RNAcentral is "partial 16S ribosomal RNA". It matches the Rfam family "Bacterial small subunit ribosomal RNA", at positions 28 to 508 of the family's 1533-position model. The record is from RNAcentral.